CUUCUCCUCGAUGUCCACGAGCUUGGUGAUGAAGUCCUUCAGCUGCGCCACGCCCUGGCGCACGGUGGGCUGCAGCGGCUCCAUCCAAGCCUCCUUGGCCCUGGAAGCCGGCGUGUCCAUGUUGCCCACGUUCUGGACUGCCUGGAGGUGACAGCAGGAAGGACCAGGUUCUGCUAGGUUUAACUGACGCUGCUGCACUGGAUACCCCACCCCGGUGCCGGGCACAUAGGUGCAGCCUGAGAGUAAGCAGACCUGGGUUGGAAGGUCCCGCGAUUCACCACCGACAGGAUGGGCGGCCUUGGCAACCCCCGACCCCUCGCAGGCCUGUUCCCUUAUCCAUGAGAUGGAACUCGGACAAGGUGGCCACAGGAAGGCUUUGCAAACUGUGAAGUGCAGUGCCUACGUGGGCGUGCCAGUGGCCUCGCCGGAGCCGGUAGGGAACACUCUGCAGUCCAGGCCAGGGCCCCGGUAGGACACCCAGCUGUGCAUCCCGCCCGUGGCCGCAAGGCCCGCACCUUGGCCAACAGGAGCAGGGUGCGGCUGGUGCGGGCGUCCGCGUGGCGCUCCCGCAGGUGGAAGAGCUUGGGCGACAUGAUGGCGGGAGAGAAGAAGCGCAGGCACAGGAAGCUGGUGACGGCGAUGAACGGUACAUUCUGGAGGGGUGCGGAAGAGCGCGGGCUGGAGUCCCCCAGACCAGGGCUCCUGGCAGCCCCCUCCCCUUAGGCUCCGUCCCUGACCCUCGCCGGGACACAGCCUCCCUGGUCCUCCCCAGCGCUCCCUGGUUCCCCACCGCUCUUCGCCCGCCCCUCGCCCCAGCCCAGUCCAACCCGGCCCAGCCUAGCCCAGCGGGUGGAGGGCGCACCUCGUGCUGGGCGCCGGGGAAGCGCUCGCGCACGCGCCGGAAGAGCUGGCGGAAGGUGGCGCGCACCACGGCGGGGCACGCGGGAACCGAGCGGCUGAGCGCGCUCAGCAGGGCCCCCAGGUGGGCGCGCAGCGUCUGCGCGCUCUGCUCCAGCACCUCGGCCUCGGUCUGCGGGCGGUGCAGCCCGGAACACCUGCGUGGAACGGGGCGGGUUGGCAGAGGAGGUCACGGUCAGCGCCAGGGCCACGACAGGAACAGUGGCUCUCACAGCAGCCGGGACACGGACACAGGGGACAAUACACGGGUGGGCAGAAGCACAAACACACAUGCUGACAGGGCCUGAUCCCAACCCGCUGCCGCUGCGCCCCGCACCCCCCCGGAGUUACCCCCGGCCUCACCCUACAUCCUUAACUUCCACUUUGCUGGGGUCCAGCUCCACGUACUUCUCCUCAAACACCUUGUUGAUGAUGGGGCCCAGGACGCCGUGCAGGUACUGCAUCCCGGCCACCUGGGGACCACCGCAGGUCACAUUGAUCCUGUCUCCCCCAGUCCCACUCCAGCUGCCCACCUUCUCCCGGCAGCCGCCCUUGCACCGUUUGCCUGCCGUAUCCGCCCAGGAGGGGGACAGGUACACAAGCAGGGCAAACUGUUUAUUCAUGAAUGAAUGAAUGAGUGAGUGAAUGAAUGACUAGAAUUCUUAGCCCUUGUAAUCCUAGCACUUUGGGAGGCCGAGGCAGGAGGAUCACUUGAGGCCAGGAGUUUGAGACCAGCCUGGGCAACAUAGUGAGACUGUCUCUAACUUAAAUUUUAAUCACACACACAUUCUUUUGGGGGGGGGGGGUGCGGGGCACGGAGUCUAGCACGGGGCCCAGGCUAGAGUGCAGUGGCGUGAGCUCACUACAAUCUCUGGCUUCUGGUUCAAGUGAGUCUCCUGCCUCAGCCUCCCCAGUAGCUGGGAUCACAGGUGCCCACCACCAUGCCAGGCUAAUUUUUGUAUUUUUAGUAGAGAUGGGGUUUCGCCAUGUUGGCCAGGCUGGUCUCGAACUCCUGACCUUAAGUGAUCCGCCCGCCUCAGCCUCCCAAAGUGCUGGAAUUACAGGCAUGAGCCACUAUGCCCAGCCACAUUCUUAACCUUAAAGGGCUCUCAAUAUGGAGAUAGAACACUGGAGUCGAAGUCCCAGCCCCCUCUGUCGCUCUCUCUGAAGCUCAGUGUUGUCAUUUGCAAGAUGAGGACAAUAUAGCAUGCAACCUCACCUUCAGAAAAGACUCCAUGGACUUUGAGGCCAGAGAGUUGCUCCGGAACAGGGUGUUGGUCUUUUGUUACUUGGUCAUAAGUAGGCGUUUUCCUUUUGAUUUGGUUCUAGGAGGUUAGUGUGCAUUGGCGUUCUGUUGCCUGCUUCCAGCCCCUAUUCUCCUGCCUCAGGUUCAUUAGAAAAGACUGAGUUUGGGGCCGGGCAGGGUGGCUCACACCUGUAAUCCCAGUACUUUGGGAGGCCAAGGUGGGCAGAUCACGAGGUCAAGAGAUCGAGACCAUCCUGGCCAACAUGGUGAAACCCUAUCUCUACUAAAAAUACAAAAAUUAUCUGGGCAUGGUGGCACGUGCCUGUAGUCCCAGCUACUCAGGAGGCUGAGGCAGGAGAAUUACUUGAACUUGGGAGGCAGAGGUUUCAGUGAGCCGAGUUCGUGGUCACUGCACUCCAGCCUGGCUACAGAGUGAGAUUCCAUCUC
RNAcentral lists this long non-coding RNA (2590 nucleotides) under Homo sapiens (human). RNAcentral's name for it is "long intergenic non-protein coding RNA 957". The record is from RNAcentral. Lineage: Eukaryota; Metazoa; Chordata; Mammalia; Primates; Hominidae.